UAAUACAUGCAAGUCGAACGAGACCUUCGGGUCUAGUGGCGCACGGGUGCGUAACGCGUGGGAAUCUGCCCUUGGGUUCGGAAUAACUUCGGGAAACUGAAGCUAAUACCGGAUGAUGACGUAAGUCCAAAGAUUUAUCGCCCAGGGAUGAGCCCGCGUAGGAUUAGCUAGUUGGUGGGGUAAAGGCCUACCAAGGCGACGAUCCUUAGCUGGUCUGAGAGGAUGAUCAGCCACACUGGGACUGAGACACGGCCCAGACUCCUACGGGAGGCAGCAGUAGGGAAUAUUGGACAAUGGGCGAAAGCCUGAUCCAGCAAUGCCGCGUGAGUGAUGAAGGCCUUAGGGUUGUAAAGCUCUUUUACCCGAGAUGAUAAUGACAGUAUCGGGAGAAUAAGCUCCGGCUAACUCCGUGCCAGCAGCCGCGGUAAUACGGAGGGAGCUAGCGUUGUUCGGAAUUACUGGGCGUAAAGCGCACGUAGGCGGCGAUUUAAGUCAGAGGUGAAAGCCCACGGCUCAACC
Molecule: ribosomal RNA, 519 nt
Filed under: uncultured bacterium
Lineage: Bacteria
Description: bacterial SSU rRNA
Rfam family: Bacterial small subunit ribosomal RNA
Source: RNAcentral